UACGUAGGGGCGAGCGUUGUCCGGAAUGAUUGGGCGUAAAGGGCGCGUAGGCGGCUUGUUAAGUCUGGAGUGGAAGUCCUCUUUUCAAGGGAGGAAUUGCUUUGGAAACUGGAGGGCUUGAGUGCAGGAGAGGUUAUCGGAAUUCCCGGUGUAGCGGUGAAAUGCGUAGAGAUCGGGAGGAACACCAGUGGCGAAGGCGGGUAACUGGACUGCAACUGACGCUGAGGCGCGAAAGUGUGGGGAGCAAACAGGAUUAGAUAUCCCUGUAGUCCCUGA
RNAcentral lists this ribosomal RNA (276 nucleotides) under uncultured prokaryote. RNAcentral's name for it is "partial 16S ribosomal RNA". It matches the Rfam family "Bacterial small subunit ribosomal RNA", at positions 524 to 800 of the family's 1533-position model. The record is from RNAcentral.